GAUCUCGUGGUGUAGUGGUUAUCACAUCUGUUUAACACACCAAAGACCGGCGGUUUAAGCCCGCCCGAGAUCA
RNAcentral lists this transfer RNA (73 nucleotides) under Caenorhabditis briggsae. RNAcentral's name for it is "tRNA CBG28688". Lineage: Eukaryota; Metazoa; Nematoda; Chromadorea; Rhabditida; Rhabditidae. The record is from RNAcentral.